UUUAAAUGUUAGAGCUGUUCCCGGAGACUUAUUGCAGAAAUAGAUGAGAAGCAAAUCAAGACUACUAUUCAAAAAUCAAAUACCAAACAGCUGUCAUAUGAUGAGGUUGUCAAUCAGUCUAGUCCAAGCAACUGUACUGUAUACUGUGGAGGUGUUACUUCUGGGCUAACAGAACAACUAAUGCGUCAGACUUUUUCACCAUUUGGACAAAUAAUGGAAAUUCGAGUCUUUCCAGAUAAAGGAUAUUCAUUUGUUCGGUAGGGAUGGUUUUUUAAAAAAACUUUUUUCUUGGUAAUGUAACUGGAAAACCAGAAAAUAAAAAUAAAAAACGUUUUCCUCCAA
RNAcentral lists this small RNA (342 nucleotides) under Pan troglodytes (chimpanzee). RNAcentral's name for it is "retained intron". The record is from RNAcentral. Lineage: Eukaryota; Metazoa; Chordata; Mammalia; Primates; Hominidae.